RNAcentral lists this transfer RNA (76 nucleotides) under Candidatus Peregrinibacteria bacterium. RNAcentral's name for it is "tRNA-Thr". It matches the Rfam family "tRNA". Rfam says of the family: Transfer RNA (tRNA) molecules are approximately 80 nucleotides in length. Their secondary structure includes four short double-helical elements and three loops (D, anti-codon, and T loops). Lineage: Bacteria; Candidatus Peregrinibacteriota. The record is from RNAcentral.
GCCACCUUAGCUCAGUUGGUAGAGCGACCGCCUUGUAAGCGGUAGGUCGCCGGUUCGAAACCGGCAGGUGGCUCCA